AUGGAUAGCAGACGCGGAAGAAGCCCAAGAAAAGCGGUGAACUGGAGCUUCCCUUGUCAACGAUGCUGUAUGCUGUUUGUUAGUAUUGCUCCUUACCAGUUUAUGAACUUGAGGGGCACUCAAGACUCUGUAAUACUGUCAUUGGCAAUAGCAGCUUAUCUCGCGUUUCAGCAUUUCACCGGGGCCGGAGGCGUGCGGAAGGCCUUGGACCAUGGAGCGGUAGUUGCAACCUUGUGCAUCAUCUGCAUCACGCUUAUCCCCUUCUUGUUCUUGCUCUGA
RNAcentral lists this ribosomal RNA (279 nucleotides) under Triticum aestivum (bread wheat). Its description in RNAcentral is "partial small subunit ribosomal RNA". The record is from RNAcentral. Lineage: Eukaryota; Viridiplantae; Streptophyta; Magnoliopsida; Poales; Poaceae.